UACAGAGGGUGCGAGCGUUGUUCGGAAUUACUGGGCGUAAAGCGCGCGCAGGCGGCCUUUUAAGUCUGGCGGUGAAAUGCCGGGGCUCAACCCCGUUGCAUGCCGCGGAUACUGGGAGGCUGGAGACGAGUAGAGGCAAGCGGAAUUCCGGGUGUAGCGGUGGAAUGCGUAGAGAUGUGGAGGAAUACCGAUGGCGAAGGCAGCCUCCUGGGCCAACACUGACGCUCAUGCACGAAAGCGUGGGGAGCAAACAGG
This 255-nucleotide ribosomal RNA is filed under the name uncultured bacterium. RNAcentral describes it as "partial 16S ribosomal RNA". It matches the Rfam family "Bacterial small subunit ribosomal RNA", at positions 524 to 776 of the family's 1533-position model. The record is from RNAcentral.